AGGACGAACGCUUGCGGCGUGCCUAAGAAAUGCAAGUCGAACGGAUUAACCAGCAAUGGUUAGUUAGUGGCGAACGGUCGCGUAACACGUAAGCAACCUGCCUUGAAGUUGGGGAUAACAGCCUGAAAAGGCUGCUAAUACCGGAUGUGGUCCAUUUUCGGCAUCGGGAAUGGUCUAAAGAUUUAUCGCUUCAAGAUGGGCUUGCGGCCUAUCAGGUAGUUGGUGGGGUAAUGGCCUACCAAGCCGACGACGGGUAGCUGGUCUGAGAGGACGAUCAGCCGGAUUGGGACUGAGAUACGGCCCAGACUCCUACGGGGGGCAGCAAUUAGGAAUCUUGCACAAUGGGGGAAACCCUGAUGCAGCGACGCCGCGUGAAGGAUGAAGGGUUUCGGCUGUAAACUUCUUUGACAGGAAGAAAAAAUGACGGUACUGUCGAAUAAGCCCCGACUAACUACGUGCCAGCAGCCGC
RNAcentral lists this ribosomal RNA (469 nucleotides) under uncultured soil bacterium. RNAcentral's name for it is "bacterial SSU rRNA". It matches the Rfam family "Bacterial small subunit ribosomal RNA", at positions 26 to 518 of the family's 1533-position model. The record is from RNAcentral.